GCAACAAGGUUCAGUCUUAUGUUUGCAGAGCUAAAUCUGAGGAUGCAUCACAUGUCAUCUUAUGUAAAUAGAAUGUAUAGAAUCAUUUUGUAAAACUUGGCUCCUUGACGUUUUGUUAAUACAUUUAUAUGUGUGUAUCUCUCUGUGUAUACCGUGCUAACACAGGCCAGGCAUCUCUAGUAUUUGUAGAAGUACUUCCGAUUCAAAACAAUUUCAAGCUCCGCCGGUUCAACAGCUCACACUCACACUCACGAAGGAAGUUGGCCAAUUCCGUUAAUGACGAUGGAUUCUCCGGCAAGUACAUUCAAUCCGAACAAGCGUCUCAAAGAAGAGUUUGUCAGCAAUUUAAAAGGAGCUUCAAUGAUGGAAUUAUUCCUUCUCAUUACUACUCUCUCUAUGCUUCUCUUUCUACGUUCAGUGUAUUCCAGUACCAAAAAAGGUCCUAAUUCAGCAGAGGCCUUGUCGAAGAAAGAUGAUGUCAUUAAAGCAGUUGUUUGUAAGAAGAACAUGGGAUCAUAUCUUGCUGCAGCGACUCUUGAUGUCCUAUGCAUUGUAUUUCCAGCCAUUUUAUGUGUAACUAUUCUGGCGGAUUGGACGUAUAUUAAUGCAGUUGUGAUGACCUUAUUGGUGGUAUUCUUUAUUUUACCUAGAAGAUCUGGAUUUUCCGUUUCUCAAGAAGAGGGGGCCCGAUCUCUUAGGACAAAUAUAUCUGCAUACAGGGUUGCUAUGAACUUUUUGACAUGCGUAUGUAUUCUGGCUGUUGACUUCAAGAUAUUUCCUAGAAGAUAUGCCAAAACAGAGACCUAUGGUACUGGCUUGAUGGACAUUGGAGUAGGUUCGUUUAUUGUGGCAAAUGCAUUGGUUUCACGACAAGCACGUGGAAUUGCAAAAAUGAAUUUGAGAAAUGCAAUUUCUUCAACUUGUCCACUCAUAGUUUUGGGGUUUGCUCGAAUCUUUUUCACUUCGAGUGUUGAUUAUCAGGUUCACGUUGGUGAAUAUGGCGUGCACUGGAAUUUCUUUUUCACUCUUGCUGCUGUAGCAAUUUUGACGUCGAUGAUUAAUCUUCCACCGAGUUAUUGUGGAAUUCUGGGGUGGUUUAUUCUAGUAGUAUAUGAGGUCUCCCUGUUGCUUGGGCUAAAUGAAUAUCUUAUUUCAAAUGAAAGAGGACAUGACAUCAUCAGUCAAAACAAAGAAGGGAUUUUUAGCAUUUUUGGUUACUGGGGGAUGUACCUUGUUUGUGUCCAACUUGGCAACUAUCUUUUCUUUGGAAAACCUGGAGAUGCUGUGUUGAGGACAAACAAUUGGGCAAGGAUUAGAGUCUGGAUUAUCUGUCUUCUAUUCUGGUUGUUGACCGUUUUCCUAGACUGGCAUGUUGAGAGGGUUUCUCGCAGAAUGUGCAACCUGGCUUAUGUAACUAUUGUAUUGGCUAUGAACCUUCAGGUAAGAUUCAGAUAAAUUGGCAUGGUUCUGAAAUUUCUCUUCUGCUGUGUGUUUCAAGAGUGUUCUGAGCUGUUUUCUUGCACUCUUUCUUCAAGUCUUGUACUCUUUUAGAAUGUGGAAUUGUCUCGUCCCUGUGGCUCCUUUUGUUUGCUUAACUGGUCGUAGCUACUCAUUCCAUCUAUCCAGUGAUUUCUCUUCCAAACAGUUCUACUCUUGUGAAUGGAGUUUGCACCCGACGUACAUGUUAGUCCUAUUGGAUGGAUGCACUUUUGUCUCUUUAAGUUAAUGGGUUUUCGGGCAUUAUCUCUCAUCAGUUAUUUCAAGAGUGAGAGGAAAGUUGGAAAAACUUAGGCCAAGUGUAUUAAGAAUGAUUUCCGACAACUUUUGACAGUAGAUAAUGAGACUAAAGACAGAUGAGAGGUUAUUUCAGUCAAUUGCUCAAAACAAAUUACAAGACGACUUGGUAGAUAUUCAUACAUGUGCGACAGAUAGAAACCUUAGCUGAAUCCAUAAAUAAACCUACGUUGAAGUAAAGGAUAUGAUGAGGGUAGUCUAGUUUUGAAGUGCCUUGGCGAGGUUAAGUGAUGGCUAACCAAGCUAUUCAAUGUUAUAUUAAGGAGUGAAAGAGACCAAAUGAGUGGAAAAGGGUACCUUGGUUCCAGUAUGUAAGAACAAAGGAGUUGAAAGAUGUUUGAACUAUUGUCAUAUUUAACUUAUAUACUAUAUAUAUGUAUUUUAAAUUGAACUUAUAAUAAUAUAACAUUUGGAAAAUAGUGAUGGAGCGUAGAACAGGGAUAUCAAGCGUGGCUGAAUGGGUUCAUGCUUGGUAGUUUUGUAACAGCAGAUUUUUUGUUUUUUAACAUUUGUAGAAAUUCUUAGAGAAACCAUAUGGUAGUGCCAGUAAAGUCCUUAGUUGGUAGUUUGAAAAUACAGAAUCCAUAUCAAAUAUAAAUACGAUAAAGGAUACCUAUGAAGGACCAGUUACAAGUGUGAGGACAAUGGGAGGAGAUACACAGAGAUUUUCGUUGAAUUCAGUGCCUAACAAAGUGAAAGAAAAUUUUACAGAACGGUUGUGGGAACAAUGAUGUUAUACUGGAGUGAGUGUAGUGUCUCAAUAAUGAAAUAUAUUCAGAAGAUGAAUGUUGUAGAAAUGUACAAGCUAAUAUGGAUAUGCAGUUGAACAAGAUUGGACAAAGCUUGAAAUGAUUACUUUGGACUGAGGAUUCAAGUUGCACAAAAAGGAUAAAAUGAGAAAAUAUCAGUGAAGAUGGUUUGACCAUGUUGAAUUGGUUUGUUGUAGGUGUGAUGUUAUGAUGACGGAAGGCGCUAAAAGAGGAUAAAGUAGACACAGAAUCAGAUUGGAGGUUAUCUAAAACGACCUAUGAUUUAUGGUAACCAAUGCAAAUUUAGCUAAGAAUAGGAGAUAAAGGAAGUAAAGGAUCCAUAAAGACAAUGCCAGCUAGUUCGCAUUAAGGUUUAGUUACUGGUUUUACUGUUCAAUUAAAUCUGGUGCUUGUCAGUAGUACUUUUAGUUUUGUAGAAACUUGUAUGUCAGCAUCUUGCUAUUUUUUGAAACCAAUCAGUAUCCCCACAGAGGUAGGGGUAAGGUCUGCCAUCUGUGUACAUCCUACCUUUACGGACCCCACUUGUGGAGAUAACACUGGGUAUAUUGUUGUUGUUGUUUGUAGAACUUGUAUGUGACUCUGGGAAUAAGUGUAAGAUGUAGAGAACUUCUAGUUUUAGAGAAUUGCCAGUACAAAAAGAAAUUGAUAUAGCACCCAAGGGUGUGGCUUAGUGGUUCAAUGAAGUUGGGUUGAGCACCAUGAGAUCUCAGGUUCAAUUCCCAACACCCAACAGAGACAAACACUAGAUGAUUUCUUCCCAUCUGUUCUAGCCUUGGUGGACAGAGGUACCUGGUACCUGUUGCUGGUGGGAGGUGGCCCGGACACCACGGUUAUCAAAAAAAAAAUUGAUACAAAUAGAGAGGAAUAUAUGUAGAUCAUAUAUUUGACCCCAAAUAGUUUGGAAGUGAAAGAUAGUUGUUUGAUGAUCGUUUACCACUCAUUUCAGAGCAUGAUAAGUCCAAUCUUUCAGUGGAGAUAUAAGAAGUAACAAGAGUUAGAGAUGGAAAAACAGAAGUAGAUUGAGUCACCAGAAAUUAAUGACAUUGAGCACAAGGAGUUCCAUUACUGUUUUCUAAAUAAGAUGAAUGAAGCUGCGACUUGUAAGGAAAAUCUCUAACUUUAAAUCUCUCUUAACAAUUUAAUUUGUUUGGGAUCAUCCGCACAUCUUAGUGAAAGGAUACCACAGAGAAUGGAUGUCAUUGAGCUAAGGAUUAGUGGUUGGCUGGUAACUUCUUGUCUUUUGGAAAGCUAAUCCCUACUUUUUUUUGCGGUUUGACCUAUUUCUGGGUGAAGUACGAUGCUCAUAAUUUUUCUUGUGAAGAUUCAACUUAUUAUACACUCACACAAGCUGAGCAUUGCUUUUUCAAAGUGUUGCGAACCCAUUUCAAAAAGUUUGGUCAAAGAUAGAUUCAUUUCACUCCUGGAAGGGAACAACACCGGACUUCUGGAUAGAAGAAGACUUUACUAGUUAGCAAUUAUUUCUGUUUUUCUGGAAGAACUUUGGGACUACUUGUGAAUUUCUCUUGAAUGUAAUGCUGCAUAAAGUCUGCUGAUGUGAUCCAUAUAAUGUAGGAUUUUUUUUUUAUUUAGUCAUGACUAA
Molecule: RNA transcript, 4164 nt
Organism: Capsicum annuum
Lineage: Eukaryota; Viridiplantae; Streptophyta; Magnoliopsida; Solanales; Solanaceae
Exons: 15
Source: RefSeq, a predicted model, not a curated record